Non-coding RNA from Felis catus (domestic cat), 85 nucleotides. NCBI's taxonomy places the organism in Eukaryota, Metazoa, Chordata, Mammalia, Carnivora, Felidae. The record is from Rfam.
ACCUGGGUGGCUCAGUCGGUUGAGCGUCCGACUUCGGCUCGGCUCAUGAUCUCGCGGUCCGUGGGUUCGAGCCCCGCGUCGGGCU